Molecule: ribosomal RNA, 255 nt
Filed under: uncultured bacterium
Lineage: Bacteria
Description: partial 16S ribosomal RNA
Rfam family: Bacterial small subunit ribosomal RNA
Source: RNAcentral
UACGUAGGGUGCGAGCGUUAAUCGGAAUUACUGGGCGUAAAGCGUGCGCAGGCGGUUUUGUAAGCCAGAUGUGAAAUCCCCCGGGCUUAACCUGGGAAUGGCAUUUGGGACUGCAAGGCUGGAGUACGGCAGAGGAGACUGGAAUUCCUGGUGUAGCAGUGAAAUGCGUAGAGAUCAGGAGGAAUAUCGAUGGCGAAGGCAGGUCUCUGGGCUGAUACUGACGCUCAUGGCACGAAAGCGUGGGGAGCAAACAGG